UCUGCACUCUGAAAACAGAGGGAAUGUUCCAAAGAGACAAGCAGAUUCUCUUCCUUCUUUGUACUUUUUUACUGAAGUUACUCCAGGACGAAAUGUAAGUGCGUUACCACAGCCUUCAAGGCUCUGUAAGAGCUCUACUCAACUUUCAUCUCCAGUUUCGAGGCUCAGCCAUGCUUCAGGAUAAAUAGCCAUAAUAGUUGAUUGGGAAUAGCAGAUCUAGAAGAAAGCCUCCAUAUGCCUUAGAGAUCAAGUGCACAUUGUAUGUGCCCGUAAGAUGUGCGCAAGGAGAAGAGGUUCCCCACAGCCUGAGCGUCUCCUUGUGAACAGCAAAGGAAGCUGCUGACGCCUGUGGCUGAUUUGUGUGCGUGCACACAUGCCUUGGCAUGCCUGUGGAAGUCAGAGAACAUUUUUCAACCGAUUUUCUCCUAACACCUUGUGAGUCCUGGGAAUCAGAAACAAGACAUCAAAGUUUGGGACAGAAGAGCAUCUAGUGCAGUUUGGAAUUGUAAUUAGGAUAUUCUGUGCCAUCUGCCUUGCUCGCUGUGAUUCGCUAGCUGCACCCAGAUUACAUCACAAAGGGAGCUGGAACUGGAGUCGGAUUUUCAUGCUGGAAAACCCAAAAGCACUCAUGCCAUGUUUAUCCUCCUGAAGCAUUUGAUGUUGGUUAAUCAACAAUGAAGUUUACUUCUGGAUUCCACUAGUACUUGGAGCAAAGGAUUGGGUGGCUGACCAGAAGUGCAGUUUUCAGAGGUUCUUGAUUCAAAUUCUACGUUGCCAGCAAUAGUCUGAUACCGACCUGGGCCUCUGUUUCUGUUCAAUCAAAUGUGGCUUUGACUCUCGUGAGGCAUCAUCACUUUUGACUUUCUCAUUUAAAACAAACCUUAUUGUGGGAAAUUUAAAUUUAGAGUACAGUGUUGUUCUUUUUCCUGGCCAUCCUGAUUCUCCACAUGCCCUGUUAAGUGAUCGCUGUUUACUUUUGCAAGUCUCUGCUCAGGUUGAGCUGGUCAUUCUUUGUCCACCAUGCAGUCGAAAGGCAUUGAGAAGCAUAGGGUGAAAGCACGAAAGCUUGGUUGUUUUACUGGCUUUGUGAGCUCCGAGGCUGUAAUUCACCUUUGCGAGUUUCUCCUUUGAUAUCUAUGGACACAGGCUACUCUGAUGAUCUCAUGAUCACCGUAAAAGAAAU
Mastomys coucha (southern multimammate mouse) is the source of this 1183-nucleotide long non-coding RNA. RefSeq lists it as uncharacterized. The record is from RefSeq and is a predicted model, not a curated record. The transcript has 4 exons. NCBI's taxonomy places the organism in Eukaryota, Metazoa, Chordata, Mammalia, Rodentia, Muridae.